CGCAGUCAUGCGAUUAGUCACGCAAGUAGUCACAAACCCCCUUUGCCAUAAAGGAGUCAUAGCUCACAGCCCCACCAGUGCUCUUUUCCCAAAACAUGUCUCUGAAAACUAAACUCAAACAUGCAUGUCGGUUUAGACUUAUUUUUCAUGUUUGUUUUGCCCAAAGCAUGGACCAUGUCAGGGAAGAUGGAGACACCUUCACGGCCGGUUAGUCACAUCUCACCAAAGCUUCUCAAUGGGCUGUCAGACAAGAAAGGAGCCUCAUGUAGCCACCUUAAUCAGCAUCCCCCGUCUGUGAGGUCAUCGGGAUGUUUCAAACAAUUUCCAGCUCUCAUUAGUUGAGCGUGUUCCACAGGUAAGAAGCCUUCAGAAGCAAGCCAUGAGACAUUCGCCUCCUCCCUCCCUUUCUUCCUUCCACAAGCAUUUAACCAGCUGAGUAGGUGAGUAGGUGUUGGGCUAGCAGCUACUGACAGCCCAGCAGUGAAUGAAGCGUAGCCUUGUUCCCAGAGGACCUCAGAAGGAAAGGUGGACGGAGGAUACCAAUGUCAGACAACACAAAAAGAAUGAGUCAAAAAAGAGGCAGUGGAGUCCAGAAGAGAGGAGAGAAGAAACACAGGGACCUGUGAGUCAGCCAAGCUGUCCCUGAAGAAGUAGGAUCUGUUCCAAGAACAGAAGGAACUCAUGGGCAUCUGUGGUCAUGUUCACUCAUCAGGGACAGAGCACCUGGCAAAGCUGGCCCAUGAUGCAGCGCUCCUCUCCUCUCCCCAUAAUGGAUGGGUGGCGGUGCAGUGCAUGCUCCCCGUGGAAGCACGGACCCAGCGGGCCUUUCUCAGGCAAUCAUGUGGCUGUGUCUCUCUUCAUGGGGCUUCAAGACGAUGUCCCUCGAGGCCAUUUCUUAACUCUAAAUUCACAAGGUGGCUUGUGCUACCCUGGGAAAUGAUGUGAGAAGGACUUCAAAAACCCCUGGUGGCUGAAGAAUGGUUGAGGUUAAAACAAAUGGAAGGACGGCCAUCGUGCCAGGUACCAAAUGAACAUAAAUGAAAGAAAACCAGCCACCAGAUCAACCUCACAUGCCCUGCAUGGUGCCUCAGAAGCCAUGGAUUAGAGGCUCUGGCUUCUCCAAACAGAAACCCAUUGCCAAGCAAGAACCGCCUGUGUCCUGAGGCUUCAAGUUGCUCUUCCCAAUCACAAAACAAGAGACUGUGAGGUCACUGUCAGAAGUCUGAGCCUGGGACGAGAGUCGGCUCCCCCUCUCUGAUCCUGAGCUUGAGAGCAAAGCCUGCUCCAACUCCUGGGGGAUCCCCCUCGGCUACAUCUUGUUACCGCCCAUCGCUGAAGCCGUUCCCAAGCACCAUAGGCCACUUUGGGUGGUUGAAGAACCUAGUUCUGCAGUCAAGUUGGGGGACAGUCUAGAAGUCAAAGGUGAGGAAAUGGGGGGAGGGUAUACAUUAAAGAGACAAAAAGGGCUUUUGUUUUGUUUUGUUUUUUGGUGCUGGUGUCUGAAGCAGUGCUGGGACCCAGAUCUAAA
Molecule: long non-coding RNA, 1528 nt
Filed under: Ursus maritimus (polar bear)
Lineage: Eukaryota; Metazoa; Chordata; Mammalia; Carnivora; Ursidae
Description: lncRNA (ENSUMAG00000014679.1)
Source: RNAcentral